UACGGAAGGCAGCAGUGGGGAAUAUUGCACAAUGGGCGCAAGCCUGAUGCAGCCAUGCCGCGUGUAUGAAGAAGGCCUUCGGGUUGUAAAGUACUUUCAGCGGGGAGGAAGGCGGUAAGGUUAAUAACCUUAUCGAUUGACGUUACCCGCAGAAGAAGCACCGGCUAACUCCGUGCCAGCAGCCGCGGUAAUACGGAGGGUGCAAGCGUUAAUCGGAAUUACUGGGCGUAAAGCGCACGCAGGCGGUCUGUCAAGUCGGAUGUGAAAUCCCCGGGCUUAACCUGGGAACUGCAUUCGAAACUGGCAGGCUAGAGUCUUGUAGAGGGGGUAGAAUUCCAGGUGUAGCGGUGAAAUGCGUAGAGAUCUGGAGGAAUACCGGUGGCGAAGGCGGCCCCUGGACAAAGCUGACGCUCAGGUGCGAAAGCGUGGGGAGCAAACG
This 439-nucleotide ribosomal RNA is filed under the name uncultured bacterium. RNAcentral describes it as "bacterial SSU rRNA". It matches the Rfam family "Bacterial small subunit ribosomal RNA", at positions 340 to 774 of the family's 1533-position model. The record is from RNAcentral.